CCACCACCAUCAACAAGCAGGGGAAAAAACCUAUGCGAUUUCCUAGUGUUUUCCACAAGUACAUGACCCUUAACCACCAUAUAGCAAGGGUUUGUCACCAGGAUCUCCCUUAAAGAGCUUUCUCAGCACCCCCAGGAUCUUAUAUCAUUGGAUGAAUUGGGAGAAAACUGAGCUAAUGAGUGAAAUGGCCCUCCACAGAGUCCAUGUUGUUAUCCAAUCAACAUCUGUCUCCUAUAAAAGAAACUCAAAGAGCCGUGUUGGAUGUCUCAUCUUGAAAGGAGUUUGACGUUUCUACUUGUUCAAGAGCUGCAUUGCAAGCCAGGUAAAGGGAUCUACAGUUUUUUGCACGUAACUGUAGUGGUGUGUUUGGAAAUCAUUGUAGAAGCUCUUUUCAUCAUUACUCAGUGAGACAAGAUUCAUUAUGAUCUCAUCACCUCGAGUUUAUGCUUUCCCUCUGGAUCGCAAGACGUUACUCCUGGUAAUCACAAUAAUUAUUACUGCCAUCGUUUUUCUCAUCAUUACUGGAGUGCUCAUUUUUUAUGAAGUCUGCCGAAAGCUGGAGGAAUUUAUCCCUCCCCAAGUGGAAGAAUCAUGGAGGUAUAGAAUCGAACACAUUGAAAUUUAAGCUUCAGCAACAGAUUCCAAUCGUCAGCACCUGACUAUCAUCUUAUCUGAAAUCUGAACCUCCUUGGGACUUUGAACCUUUUUAGUCUUUUGAGCAUUUUAAAAGGAAUAAACGUUGACUUUUUAAAAGGUUAUGAUUUUGG
Bos indicus x Bos taurus (hybrid cattle) is the source of this 767-nucleotide long non-coding RNA. Lineage: Eukaryota; Metazoa; Chordata; Mammalia; Artiodactyla; Bovidae. The record is from Ensembl.